This 210-nucleotide long non-coding RNA is filed under the name Lathyrus oleraceus (garden pea). Its description in RNAcentral is "Pisum sativum (pea) long non-coding RNA (PSAT_LNC031494)". The record is from RNAcentral. Lineage: Eukaryota; Viridiplantae; Streptophyta; Magnoliopsida; Fabales; Fabaceae.
CACCGAUUCCUACUAUUACAGGUGUAUAAAUUCCAAUUGUCAAGCUAAUGACGUUAAACAAGCGCUGCUUAUGAGGCAACCCAUGGUUUUUUAUUUUAUUUUACUUUUUUGCAUUUAUUUAUUUUAUUUUAUUUUACUUUUAUAAUAUUUUCACGAGGACUAAGUAUUUGAAUGGUUUGUAUUUUCAGGAUCCCUUUUCCUAACUUUUAC